This 67-nucleotide transfer RNA is filed under the name Mactra cumingii. RNAcentral describes it as "tRNA-Cys". It matches the Rfam family "tRNA". Rfam says of the family: Transfer RNA (tRNA) molecules are approximately 80 nucleotides in length. Their secondary structure includes four short double-helical elements and three loops (D, anti-codon, and T loops). Lineage: Eukaryota; Metazoa; Mollusca; Bivalvia; Venerida; Mactridae. The record is from RNAcentral.
AGCUCUGUAGUUUAAGAUUAAAACUCUAAAUUGCAAAUUUGGAAAUAGGAAUGUUCCCUCAGGGCGU